GACAGCUAAUCCAGGAGGGAGGCUGGAGAGAGAUGAAGACGUUGAGUCUAGAUAUGAAUUAGUUCAGUCCCAUGGAGUCCUUGAGCCAGGCUGAGGGAAGACAGCGCGAGUUCAGGUCUACGACUUCAACCUGAGACCAAAAGGAGAACUACGUAUGGAAAAUGCUCAGAACAGCACCUCCGGACACAGAGCACGAAGUCCCGGAUUCCUAUCCUGUAAAACCUUAGCUCUGGAGUGUUAGAAGGUCUGUGCAUUUGAUCCCAUGACCUUCUGUACCUAAAGCUCCGUCUUAGGUUCUAGUCCGUAAGGAAGCACUUUAAUCAGGAAGCAAGUGCUUCCGGGUCACCACCAUCCCUAAGGGGUCACUAUGACAACUUCUGGCCAAUCCUCGUUCUGCAUCUCUCCGGCCUCCAGGGACCUGGUGCCAGAUUAGUCAAAAGACCCAAAGAUCCUUGAAGCUUUAGGGUAAAGAGGCUCUCUCGUCAGGAAAGACUUCUCAAGCCAGGAAUGUACAGCUCUUCGCUAGCCUAGCUGUGGGUAAGAAGCAGGUACAUUGAGGUUGGAGAGAGGGCUGAGUCAGGUAUUUAGUGGACUUGCGUUUGGUUCCUAACAACCAGUGGCAGUUUAAACCAUCUAUAAAUAAACUCCAGUUCCCAGGACCUGUAGCUCUCUGCUGGCCUCUGUGGGCACCAGGCACAAGUAUGGGGUGCAGCUGAAACAUACAUAUAAAAUUAAAAUAA
Molecule: long non-coding RNA, 740 nt
Filed under: Mus pahari (shrew mouse)
Lineage: Eukaryota; Metazoa; Chordata; Mammalia; Rodentia; Muridae
Description: lncRNA (MGP_PahariEiJ_G0004068.1)
Source: RNAcentral